This 696-nucleotide ribosomal RNA is filed under the name Methylorubrum sp. RNAcentral describes it as "bacterial SSU rRNA". It matches the Rfam family "Bacterial small subunit ribosomal RNA", at positions 755 to 1453 of the family's 1533-position model. The record is from RNAcentral. Lineage: Bacteria; Pseudomonadati; Pseudomonadota; Alphaproteobacteria; Hyphomicrobiales; Methylobacteriaceae.
AAAAGCGUGCGGAGCAAACAUGAUUAGAUACCUUGGUAGUCCACGCCGUAAACGAUGAAUGCCCAGCCGUUGGUCUGCUUGCAGGUCAGUGGCGCCGCUAACGCAUUAAGCAUUCCGCCUGGGGAGUACGGUUGCAAGAUUAAAAUUCAAAGGAAUUGACGGGGGCCCGCACAAGCGGUGGAGCAUGUGGUUUAAUUGAAGCAACGCGCAGAACCUUACCAUCCCUUGACAUGGCAUGUUACCUCGAGAGAUCGGGGAUCCUCUUCGGAGGCGUGCACACAGGUGCUGCAUGGCUGUCGUCAGCUCGUGUCGUGAGAUGUUGGGUUAAGUCCCGCAACGAGCGCAACCCACGUCCUUAGUUGCCAUCAUUCAGUUGGGCACUCUAGGGAGACUGCCGGUGAUAAGCCGCGAGGAAGGUGUGGAUGACGUCAAGUCCUCAUGGCCCUUACGGGAUGGGCUACACACGUGCUACAAUGGCGGUGACAGUGGGACGCGAAACCGCGAGGUUGAGCAAAUCCCCAAAAGCCGUCUCAGUUCGGAUUGCACUCUGCAACUCGGGUGCAUGAAGGCGGAAUCGCUAGUAAUCGUGGAUCAGCAUGCCACGGUGAAUACGUUCCCGGGCCUUGUACACACCGCCCGUCACACCAUGGGAGUUGGUCUUACCCGACGGCGCUGCGCCAACCGCAAGGAGGCAGG